GAUGAACGCUGGCGGCGUGCCUAAUACAUGCAAGUCGAGCGAACAGACGAGGAGCUUGCUCCUCUGACGUUAGCGGCGGACGGGUGAGUAACACGUGGAUAACCUACCUAUAAGACUGGGAUAACUUCGGGAAACCGGAGAUAAUACCGGAUAAUAUAUUGAACCGCAUGGUUCAAUAGUGAAAGACGCUUUUGCUGUCACUUAUAGACGGAUCCGCGCCGCAUUAGCUAGUUGGUAAGGUAACGGCUUACCAAGGCAACGAUGCGUAGCCGACCUGAGAGGGUGGUCCGCCACACUGGAACUGAGACACGGUCCAGACUCCUACGGGAGGCAGCAGUGGGGAAUCUUCGACAAUGGGCGCAAGCCUGAGCGAGCCAUACCGCGUGGGUGAAGAAGGCCUUCGGGUUGUAAAGCUCUUUUGUUGGGAAAGAAAAGAAGCAGGUUAAUAUCCCGCUGUUCUGACGGUACCUAAAGAAUAAGCCCCGGCUAACUUCGUG
Molecule: ribosomal RNA, 497 nt
Filed under: uncultured bacterium
Lineage: Bacteria
Description: partial 16S ribosomal RNA
Rfam family: Bacterial small subunit ribosomal RNA
Source: RNAcentral